Molecule: long non-coding RNA, 791 nt
Filed under: Ananas comosus (pineapple)
Lineage: Eukaryota; Viridiplantae; Streptophyta; Magnoliopsida; Poales; Bromeliaceae
Description: long non-coding RNA (ACOM_LNC002659)
Source: RNAcentral
AAUUAAUAGUGGUACACUUGACAAAAUCAAAAUCUAAUCAGGGAGCUAGUCUAAUUAAUGCUACCACAAAACUAUGUCUCCACCAUCCACUUACAUAUUAAUUGCAGCACAUGCAUAACAUUGACCUAGUGUACUUACAAGUAAAAUUAUUUCAAGGGUAUACGUCUAGAGGAAUGAUGCUUUCAGAUAUACCCCGUAAAGUAUAUAAAAUGUGCGACGAUCAAAUUUAAUUUGUUAAAUAUAAUGUGUUCCAUAUAUAUAUAUAUAGAGAGAGAGAGUUGGACUGGGCUACUAUUAGUAGCAAAAUUCUAUUAUUGCUACCAGUUUUUUAGCCUUUGGAUCAACUCUUUUCAUUAUUUCUAACCAUUGGAUUAAAUACUAUAACCCAGUGGGGACCACUCAACCCUAGGGGGACCACUCAAUUCUAACCGACUAAUAUCAUUCCGAUCCUACAAUUUUUCAUCCAAAGGUUAAAAACUUGAUAGUAGAAAGAGUAUUUUACUAUUAAUAGUAUUCAAGCUUAAUUCUAUAUAUAUAUAUAUAUAUAUAAUUGAGCUUCUAUGCUUUUAAAAGUACCAAGUCAUUGGUGCUUGUAAGUUUUUAGCCCUUGGAUUAAUAGAUGUAUGGUUAGGAUGAUGUGGGCCCCCUUAGGUUAAGUGGGUAGUUGGUUGAAUAGUAUAAUCUAACGGAUGAAAAUGAUCAAAGUCAUAGAUCUAACGGUAAAAAAUUCACAAGCACCAAGUGCUUGGUGCUUUUACAAGCACCAUAGCCGGACUCAUAUAUAUAUAUAU